Bos taurus (domestic cattle) is the source of this 608-nucleotide long non-coding RNA. Lineage: Eukaryota; Metazoa; Chordata; Mammalia; Artiodactyla; Bovidae. The record is from Ensembl.
GCCAUGGCCACGGUGGAAAGAGGGGCCAGAAGUGACUUAGGAGAGAUGGACAGUUCAGCUGAAGGGUAUUACUAACUACUCCCUAUCUGGUGAAAAUAAGUGAGCAAUUAGGGCAGUUACAUUGGACCUGGAGACCAUCAAGUUGUUAAUUGGCGAAAACUGCUGCCUGACUUGAAGCCUUUAAAGAGUUCUUAGUAUCAGACAGGGACAGCCAGGAGACACUACUUGCAUUCGCUUCAGUAAAGGGAACAUCCUGGAGGUUUUUGAAACGUCUUAAAAGUGGUAGCAGACAGCAAAGCUAAGGAACUCAAUACUUGAAAAAGGGACCAGAGGAAAAAUGAAUUAAUGAAGCCUUUCCAAGCCCUGACUGUUAUAGAGACCAUCUGUGGUCCGCCUGCCCAGUGCCUUUUAUCUACAGAGGGGUCAUCUCCUUCUUCAAGGAAAUCACAUGUCCCGGACCCUGCUCUUAUGAUUUGGAUGGAAAGGACACAACCCUCUGGCUUUGGUGGGAACUCAGAUCCAACCAAUGAGAACACUGCAUCCCUCGGCCACAGUAACUAAUGCUGAGUUUGACCCUUGACUGAUGCCAGAGCAAACAGAGACAGCCC